GUGAAUUACUUACAUAACUAUCCAUUGAAAUAGACCUUCAAUUGUUAUUGAAAUAAAUAUAAGACAAUUCACAUCGAGCUGCUAAGCUGUCCAGACAUAUUUACAUUGCUAAUCUGAAUCUUAACGUCAGGGUUAGUAGCAACGCGGUCAUGCCACCUGCGGAGGCAGGGUAUGAUCCACUGCUGCAGUAAAUAAAUCCAAGCCAGGAGCUUGGAAGAUGGUAGACACAUAUUUCUGAGCACAGAAGUUUUGGAACUAACGUCACCAAUGUUGAAUCUAACUAAAGUCACUACAAUCGAAAAUACUCAGAACAAUAGUCAACUCCAUAGUAUGUUAGAAACGAGGAUAUACGCAAAGACCUACAAAUACCAAUGGUCAAAGAAGAAAUCGGCAGAUACGCAAAAAAAUA
Molecule: long non-coding RNA, 409 nt
Organism: Bombus impatiens (common eastern bumble bee)
Lineage: Eukaryota; Metazoa; Arthropoda; Insecta; Hymenoptera; Apidae
Exons: 2
Source: RefSeq, a predicted model, not a curated record